RNAcentral lists this small RNA (822 nucleotides) under Yarrowia lipolytica. RNAcentral describes it as "eukaryotic LSU rRNA". The stretch from base 248 to 822 matches the Rfam family "Eukaryotic large subunit ribosomal RNA", at positions 1 to 658 of the family's 3401-position model. Lineage: Eukaryota; Fungi; Ascomycota; Dipodascomycetes; Dipodascales. The record is from RNAcentral.
UCUAUUCUAUUACAGCGUCAUUUUAUCUCAAUUAUAACUAUCAACAACGGAUCUCUUGGCUCUCACAUCGAUGAAGAACGCAGCGAACCGCGAUAUUUUUUGUGACUUGCAGAUGUGAAUCAUCAAUCUUUGAACGCACAUUGCGCGGUAUGGCAUUCCGUACCGCACGGAUGGAGGAGCGUGUUCCCUCUGGGAUCGCAUUGCUUUCUUGAAAUGGAUUUUUUUAAACUCUCAAUUAUUACGUCAUUUCACCUCCUUCAUCCGAGAUUACCCGCUGAACUUAAGCAUAUCAAUAAGCGGAGGAAAAGAAACCAACAGGGAUUGCCUCAGUAACGGCGAGUGAAGCGGCAAAAGCUCAAAUUUGAAACCCUCGGGAUUGUAAUUUGAAGAUUUGGCAUUGGAGAAAGCUAACCCAAGUUGCUUGGAAUAGUACGUCAUAGAGGGUGACAACCCCGUCUGGCUAACCGUUCUCCAUGUAUUGCCUUAUCAAAGAGUCGAGUUGUUUGGGAAUGCAGCUCAAAGUGGGUGGUAAACUCCAUCUAAAGCUAAAUACUGGUGAGAGACCGAUAGCGAACAAGUACUGUGAAGGAAAGGUGAAAAGAACUUUGAAAAGAGAGUGAAAUAGUAUGUGAAAUUGUUGAUAGGGAAGGAAAUGAGUGGAGAGUGGCCGAGGUUUCAGCCGCCCCUCGUGGGCGGUGUACUGCCGACGCCGAGUCAUCGAUAGCGAGACGAGGGUUACAAAUGGGAGCGCCUUCGGGCGUUCUCCCCUAACCCUCCACACUGCCACCGACGACAUAAUCCACCCAUUUCACCCGUCUUGAA